This 468-nucleotide ribosomal RNA is filed under the name uncultured bacterium. RNAcentral describes it as "partial 16S ribosomal RNA". It matches the Rfam family "Bacterial small subunit ribosomal RNA", at positions 28 to 507 of the family's 1533-position model. The record is from RNAcentral.
GACGAACGCUGGCGGCGUGCUUAACACAUGCAAGUCGAACGGAAAGGCCCUGCUUUUGUGGGGUGCUCGAGUGGCGAACGGGUGAGUAACACGUGAGUAACCUGCCCUUGACUUUGGGAUAACUUCAGGAAACUGGGGCUAAUACCGGAUAGGAGCUCCUGCUGCAGGGUGGGGGUUGGAAAGUUUCGGCGGUUGGGGAUGGACUCGCGGCUUAUCAGCUUGUUGGUGGGGUAGUGGCUUACCAAGGCUUUGACGGGUAGCCGGACUGAGAGGGUGACCGGCCACAUUGGGACUGAGAUACGGCCCAGACUCCUACGGGAGGCAGCAGUGGGGAAUAUUGCACAAUGGGCGGAAGCCUGAUGCAGCAACGCCGCGUGCGGGAUGACGGCCUUCGGGUUGUAAACCGCUUUCGCCUGUGACGAAGCGUGAGUGACGGUAAUGGGUAAAGAAGCACCGGCUAACUACGUG